This is a long non-coding RNA of Xyrauchen texanus (razorback sucker), 422 nucleotides long. RefSeq lists it as uncharacterized. The record is from RefSeq and is a predicted model, not a curated record. Lineage: Eukaryota; Metazoa; Chordata; Actinopteri; Cypriniformes; Catostomidae. The transcript is spliced from 4 exons.
AAAAUGCUUAGAAUGUGUCCAUUUUAAUAGGUUUUAAUGCAUAAGACAGUAGAUAGAAUAAAUAUUAGAUAAUAUAAAUAUGAGAGUUUUCUUACAGCCUUAAUCUGUCAUUGUUUCGUUUCAGACUGUCAGUCAAUUUUGGAAGCCUGAAGUGGGUUCAUUUUAAGUUUCCAUAUUCCAUAUGUUAAGAUAUGUUCAGUGUUGCUGCUGUGGAAGUGUUGUGGGUGACUUUUUAUUGAUGCAGGUCUAAUCAUACUUUAAGAGGUUCUCUAGACCAUGCAACUUUUUAAGUUCCUACGGUCCCAUCAUAAUUUCUUAAGAAGUACUGUAUAUGAUGUCAGUAUUUUCCAACAUUUUCUAAAUACUGUACCAGUACUGUGUAAAAUGCCAUCAAAAAGUCAAUUAAGUGUUAUUCUUUCUCA